This 478-nucleotide ribosomal RNA is filed under the name uncultured bacterium. RNAcentral's name for it is "partial 16S ribosomal RNA". It matches the Rfam family "Bacterial small subunit ribosomal RNA", at positions 28 to 507 of the family's 1533-position model. The record is from RNAcentral.
GAUGAACGCUAGCGGCAGGCCUAACACAUGCAAGUCGAGGGAGAAGCCCUUUCGGGGGCAGAAACCGGCGCACGGGUGCGUAACGCGUAUGCAACCUACCUUUCACAGGGGGAUAGCCCGAAGAAAUUUGGAUUAAUACCCCAUAAUAUUAUUGGAUGGCAUCAUUUGAUAAUUAAAACUGCGGUGGUGAAAGAUGGGCAUGCGUCCUAUUAGCUAGUUGGAGUGGUAACGGCACCCCAAGGCUACGAUAGGUAGGGGUCCUGAGAGGGAGGUCCCCCACACUGGUACUGGGACAGGGACCAGACUCCUACGGGAGGCAGCAGUGAGGAAGAUUGGUCAAUGGUCGGAAGACUGAACCAGCCAUGCCGCGUGCAGGAAGAAUGCCUUAUGGGUUGUAAACUGCUUUUAGAUGGGAAGAAUAAGGCGUACGUGUACGUUGAUGACGGUACCAUAUGAAUAAGCAUCGGCUAACUCCGUG